ACGGGUGAGUAACACGUAUCCAACCUGCCGUCUACUCUUGGACAGCCUUCUGAAAGGAAGAUUAAUACAAGAUGGCAUCAUGAGUCCGCAUGUUCACAUGAUUAAAGGUGUUCCGGUAGACGAUGGGGAUGCGUUCCAUUAGAUAGUAGGCGGGGUAACGGCCCACCUAGUCUUCGAUGGAUAGGGGUUCUGAGAGGAAGAUCCCCCACAUUGGAACUGAGACACGGUCCAA
This 232-nucleotide ribosomal RNA is filed under the name uncultured bacterium. RNAcentral's name for it is "partial 16S ribosomal RNA". It matches the Rfam family "Bacterial small subunit ribosomal RNA", at positions 102 to 334 of the family's 1533-position model. The record is from RNAcentral.